This is a long non-coding RNA of Tympanuchus pallidicinctus (lesser prairie-chicken), 1296 nucleotides long. RefSeq lists it as uncharacterized. The record is from RefSeq and is a predicted model, not a curated record. Lineage: Eukaryota; Metazoa; Chordata; Aves; Galliformes; Phasianidae. The transcript is spliced from 2 exons.
UGCGGGGUGGCGGAGGAGCCUCGGUCGGUUCUGAAAUCGGGACCCCGCUGUGCCAAGCUGUGCUGCGCGCGCGGCCCUGGGGCUGACCUGCCGCAGUGCUCUGCGCUAUGGCACACAGCGCCGAUCUGCCUAAAGGCCCCGGAACCAGAACGAAAGGAAUCUGCCAUGCUCAUGGAUCUGUAUAAACUUGCUCUGUCAAUUCACGUGGUUAGAACUUUGCAGAAGCCACCUUACUCUCCAGGCUUUCACACCAAAUCAGGUAUUGUUUGUUCAUGCACAGGUGCCUCUGGAGCAGUCAGCCUGCAGGGACAAGGGAGGCACUCAAAGGCUUUGCCCAUGGCAGAGCUGUGGGAUAGGGCACCCAGAUGCAGAAUGACACCCAUCAGCACUCAUCAGCAAGCCACAUUGCCCAAGGGCAGCUUUGCCUCUCAGAGCUGUAGGUGUGAGCCUGAACUGCAGCAUCCUGUGUUCCUGUGACCCCAGAAUGCAGCACUAGCUGCUCCAACCAGUGAAGAACAAAAACACACUGCCUUGUUGGGGACAGCACUUCCUCACAACAGCCAGAAGCAUGGGCUAAGGACAAAAGUGGUCAGGGCAGGAUCAGCCCAGCAGUGCCAGGACUCUGGGCAAGAAUACAUCUUCCAAGGGCUGGCACCAGAGCUCCAAAGCCACACCUGCAAGUGACACAGAAGCUCCUGGCAUGAACUGAGGAAGACUGAUGUUCUCUAGCAAUGUCAAAUGUAUCAUGGAUAUAGACACCAUGUUAAGGGUGCCAGGGAAAAUCCUGCUGAGCACGGUGUCGGAGUUUCCAUGUGAGAAAGUCACCACAGCUGUUGAUCUUAGGGAUAUAAACAAGAUCAGUAAUUGCAAUAAAGUUAGCUCUUUUCUUUUUCUAAAUUUCUAUUAGGUCAAGGUCAGUCAUAGAAGAAUCCAAGGAGUGGCUUGAUACUGAAAUGGAAUGUGAUGAGGAAGACUGAGGGAAACAAGUCCUAUUUAUUGCAAAGCCAAAAAAGCAAAUCUUGAAAUCCCAGAAGGCAAUGUGUCUUAAAGAUGAUUUGGGAGAGUUUUUUUAGCUGCUGUUAGUUAACAAUCUUGCAGAAAAUCCUAAAACACAGAUAAUAAGAAAAAAAAAGAAAAAAGAAAAAAUUGUAAGGUGAAAACAAAUAACUAUAUGCUGUAAGAGCUCACUAAUAAAAUGUGAUUUUAAUAACUUUUUUUUUUUUUUUUUACAAGGAAUCCAGCUAUACACUAUAGAAAAAUAAACACCGAACAGACUCUUUGCAAUUGACAGUACAG